Long non-coding RNA from Herpailurus yagouaroundi (jaguarundi), 1812 nucleotides. RefSeq lists it as uncharacterized. The transcript has 3 exons. NCBI's taxonomy places the organism in Eukaryota, Metazoa, Chordata, Mammalia, Carnivora, Felidae. The record is from RefSeq and is a predicted model, not a curated record.
GAAGAGCUGCACUCUGCCAUCAGAAGCACAGUGCCAGACCUCAGUUUCCUCAUCUGCAGAAUUGCCCCAGAGUGGUCUUCUAGCCACGACCUUCUGAGAUGCUCCCAGCCUGGCUUGCAUGUUUGUGUUGGACCACAGUACUGUACUUGCUCCCAUUAUGAAUUCUCAUGUGAACGAUGAUUCACAAAAACCUCUGGUUAGGCACACAUGGGUGUUCGUGUCCUCCACAGGUUAUGCAACAAAACUUCAGAAAGUUGAAUAUGAAAUGUGACCUUUUCAUACGAAACGUAACCUCAAUUCAUUAACCAACUCUUUGGCCACUAUGUUACACUGGUGGUCUAACCAACAAAUUUUGACGUGCAAUACUACAUUUCUGUUCUUUAGUCCUAUAACUGGACCUUUUCCGUUCACUUCGGCUAGGCUAUGCAGAAUCAAAUAUUCAGAUGAAAAAGAAAUAGAAAAAAGUUUGUAACUGAAUUAAAAUCUAAGCAUACACACACAAACAACAUAUAUAUCUGUAUACACCACACAAAAGAUAUGGGUAAUAUAUUGUGCACCCACAAUCCUCGGUAAUUUCUACUUUGUGAUAAACUUCCUUUGCCCCAGCCUAAUAGACUCUGAUACAACUACCUGAUAUGAUCAUCGAUGCUUUGCUUUAACUGCUAUUCAAAACACCCAACAGAGUACCCAACAAAAUGUUCGUGGCACAGAUAAAUGCCAAGGUUGCUGUUACUAAGAGUAGGUGGUUUUUGUUUUUGUUUUUUUUUUAAUACUGAUAAGUACACAUUUUACCUAGUUCUUACAAGAACAGACAGAUGAUUUUUGGACAAUAUGAAGAUGUAGUUAGUUUAAUAUGAAGACGAAAUUGAGCUUAGCAUCAAUAGCCAUAGACUGUAGGCAAAGAAAGGGUUAAAAACACAUUAGGUGAAUCACAGAUAUGUCUCUUUAUGGCCAGCAACCAUUACUUUCCAAAGCAAUUUUUUUACAGAUGAUUUCGUUUCCAUAAAUCACACUUCCAAUUUUCAAAUGUCUUUUUUAAACACAUGCAAAAGCACUUCAUAGGGCUCUUAAAAAUCAGUACCCACCCAAUUAUACAUAAAUUACACAAAGAAUCCUACAAGUCCUGGAAGGAAAAGGAGAUACACACAGAAACCAACUGAAAGCAGCAAAUCCUCAUCUCCCUGCCAGGAUACAGACACUGACCAGAAAGUAUAGGCUGAGAAUACGUGUUCUGAUCAGCAGAUGUCCUGAAAGCCACACGUCUCCAAGUGUCUCAGCCACACCAAGAUAAGCUGUCUGUGACGGAAGACGUAGGACAUGCCCACAUUCAUUCCAAGCCCUGAAAAGGGGCUGCAACACAACACAGACUCGAAAAAUGUCUUCCGAGAACUGGCAGACACAAUGACCCCGUGGGUCUGAUGCACUUGGAAAUCUGAAGGACAAGAGAACCUGGCCCCCUACUCUGUACACAAGCCAAGGGCAGACGGUCCUGUUGGGACUGGGCUCUGCCCACAAAGUUUGUGGAAGCGAAGCAUGGAGCUGAUGGCCACUGCUGGAGAGAACUAAUGCAGGUUCCACGUGGAUUCGGCCCACGAGGACAGCCUGAAAGGGGGCAGGUGACCUCAACAGGAAGUGCUUCGUGGAUACCUGAGACUGAGGAGGAACCAUCCAUAACCUGCCAGAGGCUGUGAUAUUACCUGUGGAGGGAACCACAAGUGAAAGAUCCCAGGAGCUGGGGCGGGGGACGUGUAUCAAAAGCACCUGUCGGGCGCCUGGGUGGCUCAGUUGGUUAAGCGACCGACCUCAGCUCAG